This is a long non-coding RNA of Megalopta genalis, 768 nucleotides long. RefSeq lists it as uncharacterized. Lineage: Eukaryota; Metazoa; Arthropoda; Insecta; Hymenoptera; Halictidae. The record is from RefSeq and is a predicted model, not a curated record.
UGUUACAUUUUUUGCUAGAAUUUACUGCCUUUUUUACGAUAAGGGAAAGCGACGACAAUGCAUUGAAGGAGAUUCAAAGAUUUUAAUUUGUAAAUCGUAAAAUUUUCUAGAAAAUGAACGGCAAUGAAUAAUGGAAAAUAAAUUCGUUUAAAUAAAAAAUAAUAACUGGAAAUAUCGCCCGGAUGUGAAGAUAAUGUAAAUACUUUUCCAUUAUAAAAGGAAUUUUAAGGUUAAAUUAAUAGAUUGAUAAGAUCAGGAAGAAGACUGUAUACCGGUGAGCGUAAUGUUAAAAUUAAUGAGGAGGGUUAGCAAUGCCAAGCUGAACAUUCUUCUCUACGAAAAAAAGGAAAGCUGUAAGUUUUUGUUCUUAAAAGAAUGGAAUGGGUAUGAGAAUUAUACAAGUAUGAAACUAUAAUUGUAAGAUGACAAAGUGUAUGAAUCGAGAGUGAAUUAAAAAUUGUUUAGUAGCGGUCGGAUUUCGUUAUUUGUAUGAUCAAACCGAACAAUCUUAUGCGAUAUCAUUGAAAUGGCAGACAAAUGUCAUAACUACCGUACACACUAAGAAAUGUCGAAGGAAUGAGAGAACUACCUUUUGCAUGCAUACUGAGAGACAUUGUCUGUAUAAAGCUGGUUCAUAGGUCCUGCAAACAUUAUCACAAUAAUGUAUAAAGUAUUUCCUUUGUGGAAUUCCAUGUAAGGGUGUAACCCAUUUCACCAUAAAAUGUAUUUAAAAAUGUAAAAUAAAACAGAACUUAAUUGAAAAUACAA